GUGCCAUAUUUAUUUGAUAUUUUUUCUUGAUUAGGAUCAGAUUUAAAUGCUAAUUCAAUGAGAUAACUCUAGAAAUUUAUCAGAUGAAUUAACUGAUGCUUUGAUACCCAUUUACUGGGUAUGUGUGCGCACGAUAGAGGAAGGACUCAUGCAUCUCCUUGCAUUAGAGAGUCCUUCUACUAAUCAAAUUGGAUUUAAAUGGAAAGAUCCUUUUCAAAUUUUAUUCCUCAUUUGAUCCACUUUUAUAAGGAUAAUUAUCUAGAAUUUUUCUAUAUAUAUUUCAUGGUCAAAUGGAUGUCAAAGGCGACCCCUUGCACGUGCGCAUGUGGUGAU
RNAcentral lists this long non-coding RNA (333 nucleotides) under Elaeis guineensis (African oil palm). RNAcentral's name for it is "long non-coding RNA (EGUI_LNC042644)". Lineage: Eukaryota; Viridiplantae; Streptophyta; Magnoliopsida; Arecales; Arecaceae. The record is from RNAcentral.